AGUGGUUCUCUGGUGACACACCCCGGAAUCAGGCUCCCUCCUUUCUGGUUCUGGGUGCAUCACCCGAGAAGCACA
This is a non-coding RNA of Myotis brandtii (Brandt's bat), 75 nucleotides long. The record is from Rfam. Lineage: Eukaryota; Metazoa; Chordata; Mammalia; Chiroptera; Vespertilionidae.